This 206-nucleotide ribosomal RNA is filed under the name uncultured bacterium. Its description in RNAcentral is "partial 16S ribosomal RNA". It matches the Rfam family "Bacterial small subunit ribosomal RNA", at positions 568 to 773 of the family's 1533-position model. The record is from RNAcentral.
UGCGUAGGUGGUGAGACAAGUCUGAAGUGAAAAUCCGGGGCUUAACCCCGGAACUGCUUUGGAAACUGCCUGACUAGAGUACAGGAGAGGUAAGUGGAAUUCCUAGUGUAGCGGUGAAAUGCGUAGAUAUUAGGAGGGACACCAGUGGCGAAGGCGACUUACUGGACUGCUACUGACACUGAGGCACGAAAGCGUGGGGAGCAAAC